Molecule: RNA transcript, 3468 nt
Organism: Athene cunicularia (burrowing owl)
Lineage: Eukaryota; Metazoa; Chordata; Aves; Strigiformes; Strigidae
Gene: WDR89
Gene name: WD repeat domain 89
Exons: 4
Source: RefSeq, a predicted model, not a curated record
UGCGGUCGGGAGGAGAAAGAGCGGGUCCUGAAGUUUCUUUCCCUCACCGCUGACUUUCCUUUUUCCAUUAGGCUAAAUGGAAGCACCUCGUGCUUUGCUGGUAGUGAUGCUGCCUGCGUCGCUGGUAAAGCGUGAAUAAAAACACUCGACUUACACUGUUCCUGACAACGUUAGGAGCAGCAUUUGAGAUGACUGCAGUGGAGAGGAUUGAGGAACAACUUGCUAGUCUGUGCAUAGCAAAACGUUCUACACUAAGUGAGGAACCUGCUUAUUUACUGGAUAUAGAUGUUUCCAAACCUGCUCAAUCUGAAAGCAGUCGCUUUGUGGCAGUUUCAUGUUCCAAUAAGUCAAUUAGGGUGUAUAACAGGGAAACGUUAAACUUCCUGCGGGAGUACAGCAGCCAUCCAGGGAUACUGAAUGGAGUCCGAUUUGCUCACACGUGUGACAGUGUAGUGUUUUCAGCAUGCAGUGAUGGUACAGUAAAAUGUUGGGAUAUUCGUUUAGCAGCUCAGAAAGCUGUGCAGGUGUUUAGUGGCUAUCCUUCCAACAUUUUCAUCAGUUUUGAUAUCAACUGCAGUGAUCUUAUCAUUUGUGCUGGAACGGAAAAAGUUGAAAAGGACACGUUUCUGGUGUUUUGGGAUGCAAGAGGCGUUACAAACAGUGCCAGCACAACUAAAGAACCCUUGGGAGUCUAUUCUGAAAGUCACAACGAUGAUAUCACUAAAAUUUGUUUUCAUCCUAUCAAACCCAAUUUGGUAGUUUCUGGGUCAACUGAUGGGUUGGUUAAUGUGUUCGACAUUAAUGAGGAUAAUGAAGAUGAUGCUUUGAUAUCAACUUGCAAUUCAGAUUCCUCUGUAAGUUUUAUUGGCUGGUCUGGGAAGGACUAUAGGCAGAUCUACUGCAUGACACACGAUGAGGGAUUUUGUUGGUGGGACAUUGCUCAGUUAGAUACAGAAGAACCAAUAACGCUGUUGCACGUUCUGGACGUCAGAGACACAGUCUGCAUUGAAAACGACAGCUUGCAUUACCUGGUAGGCGGCUUGUACCACAACAAGGCAGACAAACUCUUUCUCAUUGGGGGAACAUCCACAGGAAGCAUUCACCUGAUCAGCUGUGGCACAGCAGGACUGAGCCUGGCGGGCACCCUUCGUGGGGGACACUCUGCUGCUGUUCGCUCUUGCUGCUGGAACCCGACAGAUGAGUCUCUGCUGACGGGUGGAGAGGAUGCUCAGCUGUUGCUAUGGAAACCCGGAGCUGUGGAAAGGUCCCUCGCAAAGAAAGCAUCCAUGAAGAUAGCUUCUUCCGUGCAGAAGAGAGUAAGAGUUCACAACAGCUCCCUCAAAAGCAGGAAAAAGUAAAAUUCUGAAGAUGGGAGUCUCUGCUGUGUAGAGCUUUCCUGGUGUUUAAUCUCUUGGGCAGUACUUGGCUGUGCUUUAUUUGGGGGUAUUCAGUGGAAAGAACCACGAUGCUUGAAUUCUACCUGGGAAUGCGUUUCAAUCAUCAGAAGAAUGCCUUUCUUUGUUUGGUUUUGUUUUUGUUUUUUAAGUUGCUAAUAUUAAUCAGAAAAGAGUAAAUGUUUGCUCUUGAGCUCUCAAACAAUAGAUCUUAAAUCAUAUUAUAUAAAAAUGUUUCUGUGGUUGUUUCAUGUCUCAGCCAACAUUUUUAAUGUGUAAUAUAGGCCUGUGGCUUGCAUAAUUUGUUACCUUUCCACUGAAAUUCCCUGGCAUGUUUUAAAAGCUUUUGUAUUUCAUGCUGUAUUUUGCUUUCUUUACAGAGAACUUAAAUUGCUCAAUAUAUUAAAAGAUUUUAUGUCACAUCUUAGUGCCUGAGGGAAUUACUUCUUGAUGAAACAGAAAAUAAGUCCUGUUUUGCACUGUCAUAUCACUGGUUUAUAACAAGCUCAUAAAGAAGCAGUUAAAGCCAUUAUUUUUCAUAGCAAAGAUAUGAAUGUAUUCAACCAAAGAGGAGCACGUGAUUCCAAGCAGCUAAUUUUUAAGUGUAUGAGAACUGUUAAUCUGACAUUAUUUCCUGCGUGAAAAGACCCAAGAAGCUUGCAAGCAGCUUCAUUCUCUCCUGCGCUGCAGAUCUAUGAAGAACAAAGGCAGAAAGAAGCAAGAGAGGAAGAAGUAUGGACCCUGGACUGGAAAUUCUGGCUCUGUCAGCAACCACCCAGCUGCACAUGCCUCUGAAUUACGUUCCUGUGUUUGAAUCUGGUAACAAUUGAAGAUGUUUCUUGGGUAUUUCAGCAUUGCAAAGCCUGCAAUACUCACCAGCGUGCUGCAGAGGAUACUCAAUGAUACGUGAGCUGAUUGCCACAUCUUGAAGGAAAUUGAGUCUGACGUGUUUUAGGAUGGGAACUAUUACUUAUAAAUGGAGAUCUCAAAAUGUUGUCUUAGAAUUCUUGGACAUCUAGAGAAUGAAUAGUGUAACAUUUUAUAACAGUAAUUAGGGGAUUCAUUUGAAGAAGGAAGUCUCAAGUCUUCACUAUAACAAUGACCUUGGUGAACUGCCUCAAUUUAGGAUUGAUAAAUGAGAGGUCAGGGGAAAUGGGGAUGUUCCUUGCCGACACACAGUAUUUUUUUUUAAAGUUUGUGUAGCUGUAGAUUUGCAGUAGGAACAGAUAGAAACAGAGUUGCAUUUACUAUGCUACACUUUUAAAAAAUGUAUGCUUGGUAUACUUGAACAUGUAAAUGGAACAAUUAUGCUACCAAUGAGCCCUUAGAUGUCAAGCAGUUGCAUGGUUCAACAUUAGAUCUUUUUGACAAAACUAAGAAGGGAACAAUUAUACUUGUCAUUAUGCCAGUAUGGCAGAGACAAUACCAGUAAGAAAACCAGUGUCUUGGAUCAACUAGGAUAGUGUUUGUGCUUCCCCCAAAAUCUAGUACUAGUCAACCUAGUUUAUUAGAAAGAGAUGAACAUUUUAUAAAACAAUCUUGAUGGGUAAAUGAAGACAUAUAACAAUGUGUGGGUCAGAAGGAAUACCUCUGGAUGGCAAACCAUCAACAAGGUAAUAAUGAAGAUCUUGGGUGGUCUUCUAUAUGUGUGUGGUAUUAGAGUGACAAGAAGAUUAAAUGAUUGUUGGAAUUAAUUCUUAUAGUUGGGUUGAAUUUAUUGAGUCCUAACUGUUGCAAAUAGUAGAAAGUAUGAAGGCAAUUAAGAAAUGUAAUAGGAGCACACAGGCUUCUUACCACAUGCCAAGGAAUGAAUGGUGGCAUUUUGUUAAAACAUCUUGGCUAAAAUAAGCCCAAAUCCUUAUUUAUUUUUACUCGUGUUAUUAUUUUAACAUUUCUGUUGUGGUUUAUUGCCAGGAUGCCUAGACAGUGAGUGAACUGUAACUCUUGGUUGUUAUGAGCUAGCUCGGUGGCAAGUGCAGUGAGUGAGACCUUCUCUUCCCUUUAUGCAUUCAUCUGCCACCCAGGACACUUGUGUUUCCCAGUUUUCACCUUUUGCACCAGAUGUUCUAAGCCU